Molecule: long non-coding RNA, 880 nt
Organism: Penaeus monodon (black tiger shrimp)
Lineage: Eukaryota; Metazoa; Arthropoda; Malacostraca; Decapoda; Penaeidae
Exons: 3
Source: RefSeq, a predicted model, not a curated record
ACAGACGUAAUUCCUGUGCGAAAAAUACAGCCCGUGACUAUCGCAAACAACACGAUUAUAAUAAUUAACUAGCAAAAAGAUCAUACCUCGUUUUAACAAGAAUGAGUCAAAAAAAAAAAAAAAAAAAAAAUGCCGUUACACACACAAAAUUAUCUCGUAAAUCCGCUACCUUCAUUAGUGUUGUGGAUGACUCGGCUCUUAUUUUCUAUAGGCGGAGUCCGAGAGGCGUUUGUGUGUGAUGGGAACUGCGUGAGGUCGAGAUUUUUGUGCACGGCAACGGGGGAGGGGCCUGUCAGCGUAACGGGAAAAAUACGCCUUUGUCGUCACAGUUUGACGCCAUCAGCGGUCGAAGGUACACACCUCAUCUCGAAGUAAACAAGUUGGUGGAGGAGAGGAAGGUAGAUCUAACACGUAACCACGCCUACCCUUCUCCCGAAAAUGGAAUCCUCGCAAAACACACUCCCUACAUCGCCCUACGAGACUACACCCGCCCCCUACAGCCAAGACCCAGGUUCUCACCUUCCCAGCGACAACGGAAAUGCCUCAGGUCGUCUUUUCAACGGAGGGACCAUCGAAACUCUGGGAUACAUCAUGACCAUGGCCUUCCUCGCAAGGGUCAUCGCAGACGUCGUUAGGCGAGUGCGCGCAGGGCGUUCGCUCCGCCGUCGGGAGGCUGGUGGCGAUCUCCUAGACCUGACCCGGAGAGUGUGGGCGUCCCUGUGGGCGUGGGAGAACAGGAUAAGGCAUCAUAAAAGUGUCAAGCAAGUCCCUGGGAGAUAGCGGGCUCAUUUGUAGCACUGAAUAUUGUGUAUGUUCAAAUAUUUGUUAUAAUUUCGUACGACUUGACUUCUUAUUGUUGAUAUAAAAAGUGUGUCAGUCA